RNAcentral lists this ribosomal RNA (310 nucleotides) under uncultured eukaryote. RNAcentral's name for it is "partial 18S ribosomal RNA". It matches the Rfam family "Eukaryotic small subunit ribosomal RNA", at positions 1470 to 1796 of the family's 1831-position model. The record is from RNAcentral.
CCCUUAGAUGUUCUGGGCUGCACGCGUGCUACACUGAUUACUUCAACAAGUGUUUUAACUGGAGAGUUUGCGUAAUCCUGAAAUGUUAUCGUGAUGGGAGUAGAGUAUUGUAUUUGUUAAUCUUUAACGAGGAAUUCCUAGUAAGUGUAGGUUUAUAAGUUGUUCUGAUUACGUCCCUGCCCUUUGUACACACCGCCCGUCGCUCCUACCGAUUGAUUGAUCCGGUGAAUUACAUAGAAUUUUGCGUUUUACGUGACGGAAGAUGAAGUGUUUUAAACCUUAUCAUUUAGAGGAAGGAGAAGUCGUAACA